CAGAAAAUAGUUUAUAAAAACAUAUGAGUUGGAUACAUAAAAUAAGAGACUUUACUCUUUUUUCUGA
This 67-nucleotide transfer RNA is filed under the name Lysmata vittata. RNAcentral's name for it is "tRNA-Pro". The record is from RNAcentral. Lineage: Eukaryota; Metazoa; Arthropoda; Malacostraca; Decapoda; Hippolytidae.